Molecule: long non-coding RNA, 1798 nt
Organism: Cannabis sativa
Lineage: Eukaryota; Viridiplantae; Streptophyta; Magnoliopsida; Rosales; Cannabaceae
Exons: 6
Source: RefSeq, a predicted model, not a curated record
CUUAUUUCUAAUUUUUUGAUUUAUUUAAAUUUUAUUUUAUUCAUUAAUUGAUUACUUUUAAUGGGUCUUAAUGAUUUAGGUUUCAUUUUCUUUAGGUCUUUUCGUUUAUCUCAUUUCUUAUUUUGCCUCCAUCUUCUUAGACAGAGAAAAAAAAAACCUUCAGAAUAUAAUGAUCCUUUCAUUUCGCAUUCUCUGCUCUUUCUCUCUUUAAUUUUCCAUUCCACCCAAUUUUGACGAAUCUAAUAAUGUUAAGACAGCAACAUUACCAGAGAAAGAGGCUGCCCCUGCAUCCAAAAUGGCAUCGUUUGCCUUAAGACCAAACUCUAGGGGAGGCUUUGGUGAAUGUGUACCAUGUGUCUGAGAAGCCCAAAUACCAAAGAUAAGAAACCAAAACACAAACAAAAUUGCCCAAUAACGAGCAGGUCCAUACUUGAUUCUGGAGCUUAAUGCAAUUUGCGAGAGCAAUUAUCAGCAGAAGACGAAGAAGAGAUCUUAGCAGAAUUUGAGAGCUUAGAAAUUGAGGCUAUAAAAAUACUAAACGAUGAAAUGCAGUUGGAUGUCAUCAAGAUUGGAAAUUUGGUUCGGGUUAAAGUGCGCAAUCCGUAUGUUUAAAAUACGUUAUAAAAGAUGACGUUCUUUGAAAUCCUAAAGAAACAGGUAUUGUAGUAAUGUGUGAGUGUGUGCGUGUGCUUUAAAUAAAAUAAAAUAGAAGGGAGAACACUGCAAAUCGCUCGCAGUUGGGACGAAGGUGCUACUCCUCUUAAAGAUAUAUUUAAGGUCUUUUUUGGGUUCUUAUUUUUUUAUUUAUUAUGGUUUUUAUUUAUCAACUCUUUUGAUUUCGUAACUAAUUUUGGUAUGGUUUUUAUUCACUAAUUUUGGUAUGGUUUUUAUUUUUCAAUUCUUUUAAUUUCUGAACUAAUUUUGGUGUGGUUAUUAUUUUUCAACUCUUUUUAUUUCUUCUUCAUCAUUCAUUUGGAUGUGAGCAGGAGAAAGAACUCUUUGAAAGGCGAAAGACAUAAUGCAUGGCUUAAUGAUGAGUUUACAUCCAAAGUAGACAAUCUUAUUGAGUUGCGGAGAAAGCAUGAUUCAAAGCUUGCAAAGUAACAUCAUUGGAGGAGGAAUUACGCUCAACUAAAGAUACUGCCUUAGCAAAGGAGGAACAACUAUCUGCUGAACUCUCAACAGAACCACCUACCAAGAAGUUUGUUAUGGAUGGUGAAAUGUCAGAUUACAUUCUUGCCAAAGUUUGAUUCUGCAAGUACGAUUAUCGAAUCAAUUAUUAAUUUUUGGUCUGUUUUUAGAAACUGUCUUAUUGACCCGAAAGAAGCAAUUGUAAAAGUAAUAUGUGCAUCUUCAAAAUGUGGAGAAUACCUGUUCGAGAUAGGUAUGAUUGGUGCUUUAGAAAUUAAUAAUAAAAUAUACAAUAUAAACAAAUAUUUGUGUGGUGGUUGGGUGUUUAUGCCAUUUUCGUUUAUGUGUUUUAUGGUUGAAUAUUGAGCUUUUUGGCUAUUUGUGUUUGUUUACUAUUAAUGUGGCUGUUAAACCUCUAGAUUAUUUGAAUUUCUUAGUGUUUAGUCUUUAAAUUAUUUAACGAUUGUUUAACAGUACUUUUUUUUAUUUUAUUAAUGUCUUAAUUGAGAUAUACUAUUGUUUUAAUACAAGUUUUAUUAUUGUCAAAUUUGAAAUAAUAAAACUAAAAACCAUUGGGAAUUAUAAAGCAAAAAUAAAACUGGUUAUUUUAAUAAUAAUAAUAAUAAUAAUAAUAAUAAUAAUAAUAAUAAUAAUAAUAAUAAUAAUA